GAUGAACGCUAGCGGCAGGCUUAAUACAUGCAAGUCGAGGGGUAUAGUGGCAAUACUAGAGACCGGCGCACGGGUGCGUAACGCGUAUGCAACCUACCUUUUACAGGGGAAUAGCCCAGAGAAAUUUGGAUUAAUGCCCCAUGGUAUAUUUGAGUGGCAUCACUUGAUUAUUAAAGUUCCAACGGUAAAAGAUGGGCAUG
RNAcentral lists this ribosomal RNA (200 nucleotides) under uncultured bacterium. RNAcentral's name for it is "partial 16S ribosomal RNA". It matches the Rfam family "Bacterial small subunit ribosomal RNA", at positions 28 to 233 of the family's 1533-position model. The record is from RNAcentral.